UACGUAGGGGGCGAGCGUUGUCCGGAAUCAUUGGGCGUAAAGCGCGUGUAGGCGGCUCGAUAAGUCCGGUGUGAAACCUUGGGGCUCAACCCCAAGCCUGCACUGGAUACUGCCGAGCUAGAGUCCGGGAGGGGAGAGCGGAAUUCCUAGUGUAGCGGUGAAAUGCGCAGAUAUUAGGAAGAACACCGAUGGCGAAGGCAGCCCCCUGGGAUAACACUGACGCUCAUGCACGAAAGCGUGGGGAGCAAACAGG
This 253-nucleotide ribosomal RNA is filed under the name uncultured bacterium. Its description in RNAcentral is "partial 16S ribosomal RNA". It matches the Rfam family "Bacterial small subunit ribosomal RNA", at positions 524 to 776 of the family's 1533-position model. The record is from RNAcentral.